ACUUAUUUCAUGCAAUCUUAUUUAUUUACAGAUGGUUUCUUUGAUAAGUUUAAGAGGAUGCUGGACCAUCCAAUCAUGCAAACUGUCUUUAUUGCAUGUGUCAUACUUGGUGUAGUUAGCGCCAUACUCACAGUAUUUCUGAUAAAAUGGUGCAGAGCCAAGACUUAAAAAGUUGGACCAAAGGAAGCUGAGGAAGGCAAGACUGGGUUUGUACAGAAUGUGAAGUGAAGAAACAACAAGAAAGUAAAGGCUACAUGUAUCCACUAAAUAUAAACAAAAGAGAAGUAGACAUAUUUCAAGCCAAUGUGGACACUGCGUAUAUUUGCCAUAUAUAUGCAGAAUCAGUUAUCAGUGUGAAGAGAAUCUGCAAAAAUAAAUGAAGAACAGUUUCCAGGGCAACAGAACAACAGGCUUCACCCUGAUUGGACCAGUUAGACACAACCACAGAAGACUAAGUAGCCAAACACCGAAGGUGGCUGCGUGUCUUAUAAAGUUAUAUUUGUUUGUAUCAUAUAUUACAUGUAUUUCUGAAGUAAUUAUAUCAAUAAAAGUCAUUUAGUUUGUA
Long non-coding RNA from Xenopus tropicalis (tropical clawed frog), 565 nucleotides. RefSeq lists it as uncharacterized. NCBI's taxonomy places the organism in Eukaryota, Metazoa, Chordata, Amphibia, Anura, Pipidae. The record is from RefSeq and is a predicted model, not a curated record. The transcript has 2 exons.